AAAGAGUUAGUGGCAUACUUGUUGAUCUUUAUCCAAGUUGGAGUCUUUCUCUAUGGUGUUGUAAAGUUCUCAUGCUUGUGGGUGGCUAGUUGAGUAUUCUCCUUAAAAUGACAAAAUGUAUUUUCAUUAAAAAUGAAUCAAAAGAAACAUCUUUGUUAUUUUUACCACGAACUACGCAGUUUUGGUCCUCCAUUUCACUUUGUUGGUACGUAGGCAUGAGGCUCGGGAAGUCUUGGCAAACACAAAAAUUAUAAAAAAAAC
RNAcentral lists this long non-coding RNA (261 nucleotides) under Lathyrus oleraceus (garden pea). RNAcentral's name for it is "Pisum sativum (pea) long non-coding RNA (PSAT_LNC012679)". The record is from RNAcentral. Lineage: Eukaryota; Viridiplantae; Streptophyta; Magnoliopsida; Fabales; Fabaceae.